UACGGAGGGGGCGAGCGUUAUUCGGAAUCAUUGGGCGUAAAGGGCGCGUAGGCGGCUUCAUAAGUCUUGGGUGAAAGCCCUCGGCUCAACCGAGGAAUUGCCUUGGAUACUGUGAAGCUCGAGGCUGGAAGAGGGUAGUGGAAUUCCCGGUGUAGUGGUGAAAUGCGUAGAGAUCGGGAGGAACACCCGUGGCGAAGGCGGCUCACUGGGCUGACCUUGACGCUGAGGCGCGAAGGCGUGGGGAGCGAACGGG
This 253-nucleotide ribosomal RNA is filed under the name uncultured bacterium. RNAcentral's name for it is "partial 16S ribosomal RNA". It matches the Rfam family "Bacterial small subunit ribosomal RNA", at positions 524 to 776 of the family's 1533-position model. The record is from RNAcentral.